UACGUAUGUUCCAAGCGUUAUCCGGAUUUAUUGGGCGUAAAGCGAGCGCAGACGGUUAUUUAAGUCUGAAGUGAAAGCCCUCAGCUCAACUGAGGAAUUGCUUUGGAAACUGGAUGGCUCGAGUGCAGUAGAGGAAAGUGGAACUCCAUGUGUAGCGGUGAAAUGCGUAGAUAUAUGGAAGAACACCAGUGGCGAAGGCGGCUUUCUGGACUGUAACUGACGUUGAGGCUCGAAAGUGUGGGUAGCAAACAGGAUUAGAUACCCUGGUAGUCCACACCGUAAACGAUGAGUGCUAGAUGUUCGAGGGUUUCCGCCUUGAGUGUCGCAGCUAACGCAUUAAGCACUCCGCCUGGGGAUACGACCGCAAGGUUGAAACUCAAA
RNAcentral lists this ribosomal RNA (381 nucleotides) under uncultured bacterium. RNAcentral describes it as "bacterial SSU rRNA". It matches the Rfam family "Bacterial small subunit ribosomal RNA", at positions 524 to 905 of the family's 1533-position model. The record is from RNAcentral.